Non-coding RNA from Schistosoma haematobium, 48 nucleotides. The record is from Rfam. Lineage: Eukaryota; Metazoa; Platyhelminthes; Trematoda; Strigeidida; Schistosomatidae.
AUCUAGCUGAAGAGUCCCGAAUAGGACGAAACGCGAGUCAAACUGGAU